CAGAGACAGGGAGACAGAGAGAAAGAAAGAGAGAGAGACAGAGAGACAGACAGAGAAAGACAGAGACGGACAGAGAUAAACAGAAAGAGAGAGAGACAGAGACAGAGAGAAAGAGACAGAGAGAGAGAGACAGACAGGCGGAGAGAGAGACACACACACAGGCAGAGAAAGGGAGUAAGACAGAAGACAGACACAGUGAGAGAGACAGACAGAGAGAGAGAGAAAUAGGCAGAGAGAGACAGAGAGAGAGAGAAGACGGAGAAAGAGAGACAGAGAGAGGAGGAGGAAGGGCGUGCUCAGGAAAUAAUUACACAUAUUUUAUAACGCUUUUGAUCCCAUAAACGGUGGCCGAGGUGUGCUUUGAAAACAACAACAACAACAGCAACAAGAGCAGCAGCAGCAGCAAGAGCAGCAGCAGCAUUCACUUACGGAUUUCUAGAACAUAAGAUGUUCUGAAGAGUAGUAAACAUCAACCGGCUCUCACUAUACGUUCAGAGAUUCACAAAAUCGUUAGUAAACAACAGGAGAAAACCGCAGCUUACAUGUCUUGGGGAAAAUAUACGUCUUCCUGAAAACUGGGGAUUUCUACUUCAUCUAAAAAGAAAUACAUAAGAAAAAGGAAAAACACGAACGAAACAAAACAAGCCAACAAACACGGGCCAAGGCACUGUCCCUGGAAAUCUUAAGUGAGCAAAGUAUUAGUUUUCAGAAAGCGUUUCUAUUUUGGACAAAUACUAAGAAGGCCCAGACUAGAGCUGUGACGUCAUUCCUAUUGUGAAACUAUGCUGGCCGGAGGGCGGAGAAACUAAAACAUCAUGAUAAAAGGUGAUUGAAACCCAGCCGGGGUGAAGGUUUCCUAGGGAGGGAGGCCUGAGGAAGGAAGCGGGGUAAAAAACCCACAACUGCAGACCCGCCCGCUUGCCGACGCGGGUCAAGGGCUAUGCCAUCGGCCCAAGCUGCCUCUGGGGAAGUGGGACCGUGCCACCCCCAUCUUCAAAAACGGUGGCCACUGAGUAAGGCCUGACGCCCACCGUUGCAAAUGUCAGCCUGGCGGUUGAUGUGACGGAAGAAGUGUCAAGUCCAGGAGUUUGAGACCAGCCUGAGCAACUGAGCAACACAAGUAGGAGAGCCCAGCUGAAAAAAAUGAAAAAAAGAAGGAGGAGGAGGAGGAAAGAAAAGAAAAGAAAAGAAAAGAAGAGAAAAAAGUUAAAAUUAUCCAAUGGUGCAGGCACAAAAAAGAGUGAUUUCACGUCUUUUCCCACAACAUGGAUAGAGCUGGAAGCAAGUAUGUACCGAGUGAACUGCCUUCUGCUUACAAGUGGGAGGUAAAUAAUGGGUACGCGCACGGUCAUCAAGAUGGAAAUAACAGACACUCCAAAAGGGAGGAGGAGGGUAAGAGGGGGAGGAGGAGGGUAAGAGGGGGACGAGGAAUGAAUAAAUCGCCCGUCAGAGACAACGUUCGCCACGUGGGUAAGGCAUACACUGGAGGUCCACUUCUGCAUCCGGAAGCAGUAGUAUGCUGAUCUAACAAACAAGCACAUACACCCCCUGAGUCUGUAAAAUACCAAAACAACGACGACAGCACCAGCAGCAGCAGCAACAGCAGCAGCAGCACCAACAACAACAACAACAGAACAGAAGCUGGAACACAAAACCACCACCACCACCACCACAGUCGCCAGUCGGGGGUUGGGGGAGGGUGGCCGCGCUCGAGACCCUCAGGCACAGUCCCCUCGGGUUUAAAAAAGAAAACUGCAGACUCAUUCCUGUCUGUAGGCAGGAAAAAUCCAAUCAAAGUUCUCCAUUGCUAGAAAGGGAAGUAGAAUAAGGAGAAGGGCUUAUUGAUCUUCUUGUGAUCGAUUGAGACCACACAUGUAGGAAAAAAUUAAAUACAGACAGCAACACUUUCUACACUGUUCAAAAGCAUUGGAGAUCAGGCGCACCACACACCAUGGGCCUUGAGCCACUAGAGAGAAAAGGCAGGCCAGGUGCGGUGGCUCACGCCUGUCAUCCCAGCACUUUGGGAGGCCGAGGCGGGUAGAUCACGAGGUCAGCAGAUCGAGACCAUCCUGGCUAACACGGUGAAACCCCGUCUCUACUAAAAAUACAAAAUAUUAGCCAGGCCUGGUGUGGGCGCCUGUAGUACCAGCUACUCGGGAGUCUGAGGCAGGAGGAUGGUGUGAACCCGGGAGGCGGAGAUUGCAGCGAGCCGAGAUAGCGCCACUGCACUCUGGUCUGGGCGAAAGAGCGAGACUCCGUCUCAAAAAAAAAAAAAAAUAUAUAUAUAUAUAUAGCCAGGCAUAGUGCUGCAUGCCUGUAGUCCCAGCUACUCAGGAGGCUGUGGUAGAACAAUCACUUGACCCAGCAGUUUGAGGUUGCAGUGAGCUAUGAUCAUGCCACUGCACUCUGGCCUGGGUGACAGAGCGAAACCCCAUCUCAAAACAAAGAACAACCAAAAACCUACAAGCAUACUCAGAGAUAGUGUGGGUUUGGUUCCAGACAACCACAAUAAGGAAAAUGUUACAAUCGAGUUAGUUGCAUACACAUUUUGUUUCCCAGUGCUUAUAAAAGUUAUGUUUAAAUUAUGUUGUAGUCUAAUGAGUAUUUAAUAAUUAAUAAUUAAUUAAUUAGUAAUCGCAUUAUGUCUAAAAAACUAUGUACAUACCUUAACUUAAAAUACCUCAUUGCUGAAAAAUACUAAUGAAUAUCUGAGCCUCAUCAAGUCAUAAUCUUUUUGCUGGUGAGUGAAGGGGUGGUCUGCCCCUCCACACUUGUGGGUAUUUCUAGUGAGGUGGGACGAGAGACUGAGAAAACAAGUAAGACAUAGAGACAAAGUAUAGAGAAGCAACGGUAGGCCAAGGGGACCGCCGCUUAGCGUGCCAAGGACCUGCACCAGCACCGGCCUCUGAGUUCCCUUAGUUUUUAUUGGUUAUUGUUUUCAUUAUUUCGGCAAAAAGGAAUGUAGUAGGAGAGCAGAGUGAUAAUAAGGAGAAGGUCAGCAAAAACAUGUGAGCAAAAGAAUCUAUGUCAUAAUUAAGUUCAAGGGAAGGUACUAUGAUUGGACGUGCACGUAAGCCAGAUUUAUGUUUCUCUCCACCCAAACAUCUCAGUGGAGUAAAGAAUAACAAAGCAGCAUUACUGCAAACAUGUCUGGCCUCCCACCAUAGGGCGGUUUUUCUCCUAUCUCAGAAUUGAAGAAAUGUACAAUCGGGUUUUAUACUGAGACAUUCAGUUCCCAGGGGCAGGCAGUAGACAGUGGCCUUCCUCUAUCUCAACUGCAAGAGGCUUUCCUCUUUUACUAAUCCACCUCAGCACAGACUCUGAAUGGGUGUCGGGCUGGGGGACAGUCAGGUCUUUCUCAUCCCAUGAGGCCAUAUUUCAGACUCUCCUAUGGGGAGAAACCUUGGACAAUACCCCGCCUUCAAGGGCAGAGGCCCCUGCGGCUUUCUGCAGUGCAUUAUGCCCCUCAUUUAUUGAGAUUAGAGAAUGGCAAUGACUUUUACCAAGUAUACUGCUUGUAAACAUUUUGUUAACAAGGCACAUCCUGCACAGCCCUAGAUCGCUUAAACCUUGAUUUCAUACAACACAUGUUUUUGUGAGCUCCAGGUUGGGGCCAAGUGGCUGGGGCAAAGCUACAAAUUAACAACAUCUCAGCAAAGCAAUUGUUAAAGUACAAGUCUUUCAAAAUGGAGUCUCUUAUGUUUUUUCCUUUCUAUAUAGACAUAGUAACAGUCAGAUCUCUCUUUCUUUUCUCUACAGUGAGGGUCUUGCCGCUAUGUUGAUGGCUGCUGACUGAUCAGUGUGGGGGCUGCUGAAGGUUGGGUGCCUGUGUCAAUUUCUUAAAACAAUGAAGUUUGUUCCUUUCACAAAACAUUUCCCUGUAGCAUGUGAUGCUGUUUGAUAGCAUUUUAUCCACAGUAGAACUUCCUUCAAAAUUGGAGUAAACCCUCUCAAACCCUGCUGCUGCUUUAUCAACUAGGUUUAUGGAAUAUUCUAAAUCCUUUGUUGUUAUUUCAACAAAGUUCAUAGCAUCUCCACCUGGAGUAGAUUCCAUCUCAAGAAAAUAUUUUCUUUGCUCAUCCAUAAGAAGAAACUCCCCACUUGUUCAAGUUUCAUCAUGAGUUUACAGCAAUUUAAUCUCGUCUUAAGGCCCUAAUUCUAAUUCUGGUUGUCUUGCGAUUUCUACCACAUCUGUAGGGACUUCCUCCACUGACAUCCUGAGCCCUCAAAGUCUUCCAUGAGGGCUGGAAUCAACUUCUUCCAAACUCCUGUUAAUGUUGAUAUUUCAACCUCCUCCCAUCAAUCACAAACGUCCUUAAUGGCAUUUGCUAUUAAGGACAUUUGUGAUUCAUGGGAGGAGGUUGAAAUAUCAUGAAGGGAUUAAUGGUGAAACCUUUCCAAAAGGUAUUCAAUUCAGUUUAUCCAGAUUCAUCAAAGAAAUUACUAUCUAUGACAGCUAUACCUUUAUAAAAUGCAUUUAUUAGUUAAUAUAAACACUUUAAAGUCAAAACCACUCCUUGAUCCACAGGCUGAAGGAUAUAUGUUGUAUUAGCAAUAGCAGUCAUGAAAAUAACAUUAAUUUCCAAGUACAUCUCCAUCUAAGCUUCUGGGUAGCUAGGUGAAUUGUCAAUAAGCAGCAAUCUUUUUUCUUUUUUUCUUUUCUUUCCUUUUUUUUUCCUUUAUGUAGUUUCCCUCUUGUUGCCGAGGCUGGAGGGCAGUGUCAUGGUCUCGGCUCACUGCAACCUCUGCCUCCAGGGUUCAAACCAUUCUUCUGCAUCAGCCUCCCAAGUAGCUGAAAUUACAGGUACCACCACCCUGGCCGGCUAAUUUUUUUGUAUUUUUAUUAGAGACAGGGUUUCAUCAUUUUCACCAGGCUGGUCUCCAA
RNAcentral lists this long non-coding RNA (4885 nucleotides) under Homo sapiens (human). RNAcentral's name for it is "HSALNT0230173". The stretch from base 4289 to 4362 matches the Rfam family "mir-4477 microRNA precursor family". The record is from RNAcentral. Lineage: Eukaryota; Metazoa; Chordata; Mammalia; Primates; Hominidae.